This 885-nucleotide ribosomal RNA is filed under the name uncultured bacterium. RNAcentral describes it as "bacterial SSU rRNA". It matches the Rfam family "Bacterial small subunit ribosomal RNA", at positions 8 to 916 of the family's 1533-position model. The record is from RNAcentral.
AGAGUUUGAUCCUGGCUCAGGACGAACGCUGGCGGCGUGCUUAACACAUGCAAGUCGAACGAGAUCCUUCGGGGUCUAGUGGCGAACGGGUGAGUAACACGUGAGCAACCUGCCCCUGGCUCUGGGAUAGCCUCCGGAAACGGGGAUUAAUACCGGACAUGACCUGGGUCUGCAUGGACCCGGGUGGAAAGUUUUUCGGCCAGGGAGGGGCUCGCGGCCUAUCAGCUUGUUGGGGGGGUAACGGCCCACCAAGGCGACGACGGGUAGCCGGCCUGAGAGGGCGACCGGCCACACUGGGACUGAGACACGGCCCAGACUCCUACGGGAGGCAGCAGUGGGGAAUAUUGCACAAUGGGGGGAACCCUGAUGCAGCGACGCCGCGUGCGGGAUGAAGGCCUUCGGGUUGUAAACCGCUUUCAGCAGGGACGAAGCGCAAGUGACGGUACCUGCAGAAGAAGCGCCGGCUAACUACGUGCCAGCAGCCGCGGUAAUACGUAGGGCGCGAGCGUUGUCCGGAAUUAUUGGGCGUAAAGAGCUCGUAGGCGGCCUGUUACGUCUGCUGUGAAAUCCCGGGGCUUAACCCCGGGCGUGCAGUGGAUACGGGCAGGCUGGAGGCAGGCAGGGGAGAACGGAAUUCCCGGUGUAGCGGUGAAAUGCGCAGAUAUCGGGAGGAACACCGGUGGCGAAGGCGGUUCUCUGGGCCUGUACUGACGCUGAGGAGCGAAAGCGUGGGGAGCGAACAGGAUUAGAUACCCUGGUAGUCCACGCCGUAAACGUUGGGCGCUAGGUGUGGGUCCCUUCCACGGGGUCUGUGCCGCAGCUAACGCAUUAAGCGCCCCGCCUGGGGAGUGCGGCCGCAAGGCUAAAACUCAAAGGAAUUGACGG